RNAcentral lists this unclassified non-coding RNA (345 nucleotides) under soil metagenome. Its description in RNAcentral is "partial contains 5.8S ribosomal RNA, internal transcribed spacer 2, and large subunit ribosomal RNA". The stretch from base 1 to 119 matches the Rfam family "5.8S ribosomal RNA", at positions 35 to 154 of the family's 154-position model. The record is from RNAcentral.
GAUGAAGAACGCAGCGAAAUGCGAUACGUAAUGUGAAUUGCAAAUUCAGUGAAUCAUCGAGUCUUUGAACGCACAUUGCGCCCCCUGGUAUUCCGGGGGGCAUGCCUGUCCGAGCGUCAUUGCUGCCCUCAAGCACGGCUUGUGUGUUGGGCCCCGUCCUCCGAUCCCGGGGGACGGGCCCGAAAGGCAGCGGCGGCACCGCGUCCGGUCCUCGAGCGUAUGGGGCUUUGUCACCCGCUCUGUAGGCCCGGCCAGCGCUUGCCGAUCAACCCAAAUUUUUAUCCAGGUUGACCUCGGAUCAGGUAGGGAUACCCGCUGAACUUAAGCAUAUCAAUAAGCGGAGGA